GCAUGUUAAGAUAAGCAACUAUACUGUGAAACUGCGAAUGGCUCAUUAAAUCAGUUAUCGUUUAUUUGAUAGUACCUUACUACUUGGAUAACCGUGGUAAUUCUAGAGCUAAUACAUGCUAAAAACCUCGACUUCGGAAGGGGUGUAUUUAUUAGAUAAAAAACCAAUGCCCUUCGGGGCUCACUGGUGAUUCAUAAUAACUUAACGAAUCGCAUGGCCUUGUGCCGGCGAUGGUUCAUUCAAAUUUCUGCCCUAUCACCUUUCGAUUGUUGGAUAGUGGCCAACAAUGGGUUCAACGGGUAACGGGGAAUUAGAAACUUAGUUCUCAAGUGGGGUUGCUUCGGCGGCUUCAAGUCUCCCCCGCCCCCUAGUUUGCACUGGGGCGGGGAAAGGCGACACACCUGGUUGCGGGGACCUCCUGUUAGGUCUGCAGUACCGGUGCCAGGGUAACUCCCGGGCAUAUGGUUAUAAGCUGCAGAAUAGGGACAAUCCGCAGCGACCUGGCUGCCCUUAGGGGGUGCUCGGCGUCUCAACGCUCGCUAAGGUGUGGGCUCUGUAUAGGGCUUAAGGUACGGGCUAGUCCCACCGGAAACGGUGCCAGUGGUUACCAACCGUGCAAGGUUGCCAGCCGCUGGGGGCAUUACGCCUGGUAUUCACGUAGGGUUCUAUUCCGGAGAGGGAGCCUGAGAAACGGCUACCACAUCCAAGGAAGGCAGCAGGCGCGCAAAUUACCCAAUCCCGACACGGGGAGGUAGUGACAAUAAAUACUGAUACAGGGCUCUUUUGGGUCUUGUAAUUGGAAUGAGUACAAUUUAAAUCCCUUAACGAGGAACAAUUGGAGGGCAAGUCUGGUGGACAUUGGCGUCCUGAGGUGUUAAAACCUCUUAUUGCUGACGCCAGAAAGAGAAGAACUUCGGUUCUACUAGUCGACUAUACUACAAGCUUUGGGUGUAUAGCGGCAAGACAACCUGGAUCGGGGGAGGCUAAGGGCGCAAGCCUAUGCUAACCCCGAGCCGAGCUACUGGAGGGCAACCCCCAGAUAGCCGGUGUAGAGCGCGGAAAGGUGUCGGUCAUCCUAUCUGAUAGGUGGCUUGAGGGACGUGCCGUCUCACCCGAAAGGGUGUUUCUAAGGAGGAGCUCCCAAAGGGCAAAUCUUAGAAAAGGGUGUAUACCCUAUAAUUUAACGGCCAGCAGCCGCGGUAAUUCCAGCUCCAAUAGCGUAUAUUAAAGUUGUUGCAGUUAAAAAGCUCGUAGUUGAACCUUGGGCCUGGCUGGCCGGUCCGCCUCACCGCGUGCACUGGUCCGGCCGGGUCUUUCCUUCUGGGGAGCCGCAUGCCCUUCACUGGGUGUGUCGGGGAACCAGGACUUUUACUUUGAAAAAAUUAGAGUGUUCAAAGCAGGCCUAUGCUCGAAUACAUUAGCAUGGAAUAAUAGAAUAGGACGUGUGGUUCUAUUUUGUUGGUUUCUAGGACCGCCGUAAUGAUUAAUAGGGAUAGUCGGGGGCGUCAGUAUUGCGUUGUCAGAGGUGAAAUUCUUGGAUUUACGCAAGACUAACUACUGCGAAAGCAUUCGCCAAGGAUGUUUUCAUUAAUCAGUGAACGAAAGUUAGGGGAUCGAAGACGAUCAGAUACCGUCGUAGUCUUAACCAUAAACUAUGCCGACUAGGGAUCGGGCGAUGUUAUCUUUUUGACUCGCUCGGCACCUCACGAGAAAUCAAAGUCUUUGGGUUCUGGGGGGAGUAUGGUCGCAAGGCUGAAACUUAAAGAAAUUGACGGAAAGGCACCACCAGGCGUUAGCAACUCUGCGCCGAAUAGCAGCCCGGAAGGUCCGUGGUGCCUAUAACAUGCUAGUCUUGGGCUCACCCCCAAGGCGACACCCCUAAAUUGCGGGAACUCCCUAAAGCUCUCGCUACCGCCCCGGCGCCGAAAGGCUGCAGGCACCGGGUUAACAACCACGGGUAUGGUCAAAACGCGAGAGAUGUCACAAUGGGUAAUCCGCAGCCAAGUCCCUACCGGCCCGUACGGCCCAGGGGAAAGGUUCAGAGACUAAAUAGGGAUGGGCGAUCUGGUAUCGCUUAAGAGAUAGUCCGGCGGUAGGUCAACACCUACGACGAAUAAACGGGAGCCUGCGGCUUAAUUUGACUCAACACGGGGAAACUCACCAGGUCCAGACAUAAUAAGGAUUGACAGAUUGAGAGCUCUUUCUUGAUUUUAUGGGUGGUGGUGCAUGGCCGUUCUUAGUUGGUGGAGUGAUUUGUCUGCUUAAUUGCGAUAACGAACGAGACCUUAACCUGCUAAAUAGCCAGGCUAGCUUAGGCUGGUCGCCGGCUUCUUAGAGGGACUAUCGGCUCAAGCCGAUGGAAGUUUGAGGCAAUAACAGGUUAACCUUCACAGGCCUGUAAAAGUGGUCGUCCGCUAGUCCAACGUUUUAAUCUCUGUGAAGAAGUCUUCUUCUGCCGGGCAGAGAGGUGUCCUCGCGACGCCAUACGUGGGCAACACUACCUGGAACAGGAAACGCCGGAGUAAGUCUGCUCAGCAGCAUUGGCCGAUCCUGUGGCGAGUCAAGGUAACGCUUGACCGUCGCAACGCGCGCUAAGGAGUGGGUAUCGAACCCCUAGAGGGUCGAUAUUUGAGGUACGUGCUAUCCGCUGGGUAACCAGUCUUAUGCGUCAAGGCCCGGCAGGCCGAAACGUGUAGGGGCACCACCCUUUUGGGGUGGUGCUGGCGUCGAAUUGCUGUGAUGCCCUUAGAUGUUCUGGGCCGCACGCGCGCUACACUGACAGAGCCAACGAGUUCAUCACCUUGCCCGAAAGGGUUGGGUAAUCUUGUUAAACUCUGUCGUGCUGGGGAUAGAGCAUUGCAAUUAUUGCUCUUCAACGAGGAAUGCCUAGUAAGCGCAAGUCAUCAGCUUGCG
This 2913-nucleotide ribosomal RNA is filed under the name leotiomycete sp. G21-24-A204. Its description in RNAcentral is "partial 18S ribosomal RNA". The stretch from base 1 to 2381 matches the Rfam family "Eukaryotic small subunit ribosomal RNA". The record is from RNAcentral. Lineage: Eukaryota; Fungi; Ascomycota; Leotiomycetes.